This 207-nucleotide ribosomal RNA is filed under the name uncultured bacterium. RNAcentral describes it as "partial 16S ribosomal RNA". It matches the Rfam family "Bacterial small subunit ribosomal RNA", at positions 568 to 774 of the family's 1533-position model. The record is from RNAcentral.
AGCGCAGGCGGACCGGCAAGUUGGAAGUGAAAACUAUGGGCUCAACCCAUAAAUUGCUUUCAAAACUACUGGCCUUGAGUAGUGCAGAGGUAGGUGGAAUUCCCGGUGUAGCGGUGGAAUGCGUAGAUAUCGGGAGGAACACCAGUGGCGAAGGCGACCUACUGGGCACCAACUGACGCUGAGGCUCGAAAGCAUGGGUAGCAAACA